GGAAAAGACAAACCAGAAAUAUGUCUCAUAUUUGCAAAAGGAGUAUGUGCUAGUCUUAAAUGGCAAACGUAAUUCAUGUCAGUGGUAACAGCAUUAUUACAAAUGGAAUUAUUUACAAUUGGAGGCAACGCAACAACUUUGCUGUCAGACACAUUGUCAUCAUUACAAAAAUUAGAGAAAGAAAAAAAAAAGUAAAAGAAGAACCAGGAGAGGAAGAGAGGGAAGAUGGCACCCAAGACAGUUUGUAAAUGCCAGCUUCCUCUUUACCAAGAUCCAGAGGCCUCUUCAGAGAAGGGUCCUG
Molecule: long non-coding RNA, 301 nt
Filed under: Nicotiana benthamiana
Lineage: Eukaryota; Viridiplantae; Streptophyta; Magnoliopsida; Solanales; Solanaceae
Description: long non-coding RNA (NBEN_LNC001813)
Source: RNAcentral